AAAAAAUAUAAUUAUUGUUUAGAUAUUUAUAAUUUAAUUAAAUAUAUAAAAAUAUUUUAAGAUAUAAAUAAAUAUAUUUAAAUAAUAUUAAAAAUAAAGUUUAUAUAAAAAUUUAUAAUAAUUAAUAAAUUAAGUUAUAGUAAUUAAAAAUUAAGUUACAAAUAAAUUUAGUGCCAGCAAUUGCGGUUAGACUAAAUAUAAAAAUAAAUAUUUAUAAUUUAUUAAUCAUUAAAAGAUAUAAAUUAAAAAAUUUUAAAAUUUAUGGUGAAAUAUAGAUUUUAAUUAUUUAUUAAUAAUUUAUUUAAAGAGAUUAAAUAAAAAAAUUUAGAAAAAAUAGGAUUAGAUACCCUAGUAUUAUUUAUAAAGAAAUUGUUAAAUUAAGAUAUUAAAUGUUUAAUCAUUAAAUUUAAGUAAUUUGGCGGUAUUUUUUAGUAUUAGAGGGACUUGUUUAAUAAUUGAUAAUCCACGAGUAAAAAGACCUAGUUUAAAUAGUUUUAUAUAUUGUUGUUUGAAAUUUAUCAUUAGAGUGAUUAUAUGUGAUAGUUUUAAUAGAAAUAAAAUUCAAAUCAAAAUGUAGAAUAAUUAGGAUAUAAAAUGAGUCACAAUUAAUUUUAUAAAUUAAUGGAUUUAGCUAAGUAAAGAGUUAGAGAAAGAGGAUUUGAAAGUAAAUUUAUUUAGAUAAAUAGAUUGAAUAGUAUAAAAAAUGUGUACAAAUUGCCCGUCAUUUUCGUUGUAAAAUGAAAAAAGUCGUAACAUAGUAAAUGUAUUGGAAAAUGUAUUUAGAUUAAA
This 789-nucleotide non-coding RNA is filed under the name Dorymyrmex brunneus. The record is from RNAcentral. Lineage: Eukaryota; Metazoa; Arthropoda; Insecta; Hymenoptera; Formicidae.